RNAcentral lists this ribosomal RNA (454 nucleotides) under uncultured Prevotella sp. Its description in RNAcentral is "partial 16S ribosomal RNA". It matches the Rfam family "Bacterial small subunit ribosomal RNA", at positions 341 to 792 of the family's 1533-position model. The record is from RNAcentral. Lineage: Bacteria; Pseudomonadati; Bacteroidota; Bacteroidia; Bacteroidales; Prevotellaceae.
ACGGGAGGCAGCAGUGAGGAAUAUUGGUCAAUGGACGAGAGUCUGAACCAGCCAAGUAGCGUGCAGGAAGACGGCCCUAUGGGUUGUAAACUGCUUUUGUACGGGAAUAAAGUGCGGGACGUGUCCCGCUUUGCAUGUACCGUAAGAAUAAGGACCGGCUAAUUCCGUGCCAGCAGCCGCGGUAAUACGGAAGGUCCGGGCGUUAUCCGGAUUUAUUGGGUUUAAAGGGAGCGCAGGCUGUUCUUUAAGCGUGUUGUGAAAUGUAGGCGCUCAACGUCUGCACUGCAGCGCGAACUGGAGGACUUGAGUACGCGGGAAGUAGGCGGAAUUCGUCGUGUAGCGGUGAAAUGCUUAGAUAUGACGAAGAACUCCGAUUGCGAAGGCAGCUUACUGUAGCGCCACUGACGCUAAAGCUCGAAAGUGCGGGUAUCGAACAGGAUUAGAUACCCUGGUA